This 74-nucleotide transfer RNA is filed under the name Leptolyngbyaceae cyanobacterium RM1_405_57. RNAcentral's name for it is "tRNA-Arg". It matches the Rfam family "tRNA". Rfam says of the family: Transfer RNA (tRNA) molecules are approximately 80 nucleotides in length. Their secondary structure includes four short double-helical elements and three loops (D, anti-codon, and T loops). RNAcentral also lists the same sequence under 2 other names. Lineage: Bacteria; Bacillati; Cyanobacteriota; Cyanophyceae; Leptolyngbyales; Leptolyngbyaceae. The record is from RNAcentral.
GAGGAUGUAACUCAGAUGGAUAGGGUGUUUGCUUCCGAGGCAAGUGGUCACAGGUUCGAUCCCUGUCAUCCUCG